GCGGAUGUGGCGGAACUGGCAGACGCGCAGGUUUCAGGUUCCUGUGGGUGACCGUGGGGGUUCAAAUCCCUUCAUCCGCACCA
This 83-nucleotide transfer RNA is filed under the name Clostridia bacterium. RNAcentral's name for it is "tRNA-Leu". It matches the Rfam family "tRNA". Rfam says of the family: Transfer RNA (tRNA) molecules are approximately 80 nucleotides in length. Their secondary structure includes four short double-helical elements and three loops (D, anti-codon, and T loops). Further hydrogen bonds mediate the characteristic L-shaped molecular structure. tRNAs have two regions of fundamental functional importance: the anti-codon, which is responsible for specific mRNA codon recognition, and the 3' end, to which the tRNAs corresponding amino acid is attached (by aminoacyl-tRNA synthetases). tRNAs cope with the degeneracy of the genetic code in two manners: having more than one tRNA (with a specific anti-codon) for a particular amino acid; and 'wobble' base-pairing, i.e. permitting non-standard base-pairing at the 3rd anti-codon position. Lineage: Bacteria; Bacillati; Bacillota; Clostridia. The record is from RNAcentral.